RNAcentral lists this long non-coding RNA (725 nucleotides) under Vulpes vulpes (red fox). Its description in RNAcentral is "lncRNA (ENSVVUG00000012381.1)". Lineage: Eukaryota; Metazoa; Chordata; Mammalia; Carnivora; Canidae. The record is from RNAcentral.
GGGACACAUAAUUAGAAGACUAAAUAUGUUAUAAAUACCAUUUACAAUAACUCUGAAGAUUAUCAAACUCCCAAGUAAAAUUUCAAAGAAAUUUGCAAUUUGCAAUUUCUUUACAUGGCAAACAAUAAAAAAUUAUUGAUAGGAAUUAAUGAAGACAUGAAUAACUGGAAUGGUAUCCGAAGUUUAUUAACAGAAGAUUCUUUUUUUCAGGUGAUCAACUUUUCCACUUUGAAGCACAUGUGUGAACCCAAGUCAAGUCCCAGCAUAUCCAAUACUUUAGUAUGUUCUAUAAAGGCAUAAAUAAAAAAUUGGGCUAAGGGGGAGAAUGAAUACGAAGUUAGAUUCCAGUUCAAACAAAAGAAGGAAAAACCUACUGUUGAAUGUUAAGAACAGUUCUGAAAAUUGUGGCUUCCUGCCCCAAAAGUUCAAGUAGAAUCUGUAGAGUACCCUGGGUGAAGAUACUCUACGGGGAAAUUAAAGUGAUUUUGACAACACCUAAGUGGUCCUCUGCACUUGGCCAUGAUCCUAUCAUACAGUUACAACAUAAAGGCAGUCUUCUGAGAAUAACAAUCCUUCAUAAGGUCACUCAAAGCAUGGCAUGAAUGGAGAAGAGUGCCAUACACUAACUGAGCAGUGACAUGAAAUUAGCAAAAGAAAAUACAGCUGUGUAAACCACUAUUCAGGUGAAGAAUAAAACACUCAGACUUCCAGAAGAAUAAAGAAGG